Molecule: unclassified non-coding RNA, 270 nt
Filed under: Hevea brasiliensis (rubber tree)
Lineage: Eukaryota; Viridiplantae; Streptophyta; Magnoliopsida; Malpighiales; Euphorbiaceae
Source: RNAcentral
GGAAACUUAUGAAGCAAAUGAUGAAUUGAUCGAUUUUUUUUGUACUUUUUGCUGGAAAAAUGGCAGGAAAUCGUGGAAUUAGGUUUCGGUAUAUGUUUCAUCUAUGGCCGGAACUGCCAAGAGACACCAUACCGGAGAGGAAGGAGGAGCAGGAAGCUCCGAUGACGUUUUUGAGCCGUCAAUAGAUAAAUUUCCAGUCGAUGUAAUAAGUUGUAUAUUGGAAAAACUGGAUUUGGAAUCUGUCUGCAGCGCCGCUUGUGUCUCUCAGAC